This is a small nuclear RNA of Myotis myotis, 104 nucleotides long. The record is from RefSeq and is a predicted model, not a curated record. Lineage: Eukaryota; Metazoa; Chordata; Mammalia; Chiroptera; Vespertilionidae.
GUGCUUGCUUCGGUGGUACAUAUACUAAAAUUGGAACAAUAGGGAGAUUAGCAUGGCCCCUACACAAGGAUGACACACAAAUUUAUGAAGCAUUCCAUUAAAAA